This 445-nucleotide ribosomal RNA is filed under the name uncultured bacterium. RNAcentral describes it as "SSU rRNA". It matches the Rfam family "Bacterial small subunit ribosomal RNA", at positions 26 to 518 of the family's 1533-position model. The record is from RNAcentral.
AGAACGAACGCUGGCGGCAGGCCUCAAACAUGCAAGUCUAGGGGGUGUAGCAAUACAUCACCGGCGGACGGGUGCGUAACACGUGGGAAUAUACCUUUUGGUUCGGAACAACGCAGGGAAACUUGCGCUAAUACCGAAUGUGCCCUUACGGGGAAAGAUUUAUCGCCAAAGGAUUAGCCCGCGUAGGAUUAGCUAGUUGGUGAGGUAAUGGCUCACCAAGGCUCCGAUCCUUAGCUGUUCUGAGAGGAAGAUCAGCCACACUGGGACUGAGACACGGCCCAGACUCCUACGGGAGGCAGCAGUUGGGAAUCUUGGACAAUGGGGGAAACCCUGAUCCAGCCAUGCCGCGUGAGUGAUGAAGGCCUUCGGGUUGUAAACUCUUUCGACGGGGACGAUAAUGACGGUACCGUAGAAGAAGCUCGGCUAACUUCGUGCCAGCAGCCGC